This 281-nucleotide ribosomal RNA is filed under the name uncultured bacterium. RNAcentral describes it as "partial 16S ribosomal RNA". It matches the Rfam family "Bacterial small subunit ribosomal RNA", at positions 524 to 796 of the family's 1533-position model. The record is from RNAcentral.
UACGAAGGGGGGCUAGCGUUGUUCGGAAUCACUGGGCGUAAAGCGCACGUAGGCGGACUUUUUAAGUAGGGGUGAAAUCCCCGGGGGCUCAACCCCGGAACUGCCUUUGAUACUGGAAGUCUUGAGUCCGAGAGAGGUGAGUGGAACUCCGAGUGUAGAGGUGAAAAUUCGUAGAUAUUCGGAAGAACACCAGUGGCGAAGGCGGCUCACUGGCUCGGUACUGACGCUGAGGUGCGAAAAGCGUGGGGGAGCAAAACAGGAUUAGAUACCCCGCGUAGUCC